AUUGGUUUACUAAAUAAAAGGGCCCGUAAAACGGCCCCAAUUAAAUAGUAUCUGUUCUUAUCAGCUUAAUAUCUGAUACGGUCCUCAUUGAGGACCCAGAAUAUUAAACUGAUUUUUGGAACCAGAUGGGGUGCUCGGAGCUUGCUCCACCCGUCACGGGUUGGCUUGGUAGUGCAGUACCUCCAGGAUCGGCCCUCUCCUU
RNAcentral lists this small nuclear RNA (202 nucleotides) under Strigamia maritima. RNAcentral's name for it is "U2 spliceosomal RNA". It matches the Rfam family "U2 spliceosomal RNA". From Rfam's summary of the family: U2 is a small nuclear RNA (snRNA) component of the spliceosome (involved in pre-mRNA splicing). Lineage: Eukaryota; Metazoa; Arthropoda; Chilopoda; Geophilomorpha; Linotaeniidae. The record is from RNAcentral.